AGAUGCUAAUACCGCAUAACAACUUGGACCGCAUGGUCCGAGCUUGAAAGAUGGCUUCGGCUAUCACUUUUGGAUGGUCCCGCGGCGUAUUAGCUAGAUGGUGGGGUAACGGCUCACCAUGGCAAUGAUACGUAGCCGACCUGAGAGGGUAAUCGGCCACAUUGGGACUGAGACACGGCCCAAACUCCUACGGGAGGCAGCAGUAGGGAAUCUUCCACAAUGGACGAAAGUCUGAUGGAGCAACGCCGCGUGAGUGAAGAAGGGUUUCGGCUUGUAAAACUCUGUUGUUAAAGAAGAACAUAUCUGAGAGUAACUGUUCAGGUAUUGACGGUAUUUAACCAGAAAGCCACGGCUAACUACGUGCCAGCAGCCGCGGUAAUACGUAGGUGGCAAGCGUUGUCCGGAUUUAUUGGGCGUAAAGCGAGCGCAGGCGGUUUUUUAAGUCUGAUGUGAAAGCCUUCGGCUCAACCGAAGAAGUGCAUCGGAAACUGGGAAACUUGAGUGCAGAAGAGGACAGUGGAACUCCAUGUGUAGCGGUGAAAUGCGUAGAUAUAUGGAAGAACACCAGUGGCGAAGGCGGCUGUCUGGUCUGUAACUGACGCUGAGGCUCGAAAGUAUGGGGUAGCAAACAGGAAUUAGAUACCCUGGGUAGUCCAUACCGUAAAACGAUGAAUGCUAAGUGUUGGAAGGGUUUCCCGCCCCUUCAGUGCUGC
This 713-nucleotide ribosomal RNA is filed under the name uncultured bacterium. Its description in RNAcentral is "bacterial SSU rRNA". It matches the Rfam family "Bacterial small subunit ribosomal RNA", at positions 158 to 849 of the family's 1533-position model. The record is from RNAcentral.